Molecule: long non-coding RNA, 695 nt
Filed under: Rattus norvegicus (Norway rat)
Lineage: Eukaryota; Metazoa; Chordata; Mammalia; Rodentia; Muridae
Description: long non-coding RNA NONRATT021987
Source: RNAcentral
UUUUUUUUUUUUUUUUUGCCUGUGCGGUUUGAGAGAGGCACAGUUGGAGGCGCUGAUUCCUACAAAAGUCCCCAGAGCCAGCGAGCGGCACGAUGCUGCGGAGGCUGGUUCAGCAGUGGAGCGUCCUGGUGUUCCUGCUCAGCUACUCCGUGCCCUCCCGCGGGCGCUCGGUGGAGGGGCUUGGUCGCAGGCUGUAAGUCUUCACAGGACGCAUUGAAACUUUCACCGAAGAUCUUCCAAGGACACGUUACAGGAUUCUGUAAUAGUAAACAUAUGGAAAGUAUUAGACAUAUUUAUUGCCUGUACAUACUGUAAAUGCAUUGGGAUCAAACUGUCUCCCCAGGAAACUGCACAUGGGUCAUGUGAAUAUUUUUCCUUCUUUUUUUUUUUUGCCAAGGCUAAUCCAAUUAUUACUGUCACUGUUACCAUAAUUUAUUUUGUCAACUGAUGUAUUUAUUUGUAAAUGUAUCUUGGUGCUGCUGACUCUGUUUUUUUGUAACAUAAUGCACUUUAGGUAUACAUAUCAAGUAUGUCGAUGAAUUUAACACGAAAAAGUGUCUCUAUUUUGUGGUUCAUUUUGAUGAGUUCUGAAAUAUAAUUAUCUAGACUGAUCUCCCUCUGCGCAUGUAAAAAUGGCAGUAUUUUAAAUUUGUAAAGAAUGUCUAAUAAAAUAUAAUCUAAUUACACCGUGACUU